This 463-nucleotide ribosomal RNA is filed under the name uncultured bacterium. RNAcentral's name for it is "partial 16S ribosomal RNA". It matches the Rfam family "Bacterial small subunit ribosomal RNA", at positions 339 to 795 of the family's 1533-position model. The record is from RNAcentral.
CUACGGGUUGCUGCAGUGGGGAAUAUUGGACAAUGGGGGCAACCCUGAUCCAGCAAUGCAGCGUGUGUGAAGAAGGCCUGCGGGUUGUAAAGCACUUUUAGUUGGGAGGAAGGCUUAAUGCCUAAUAGGCAUUAGGAUUGACGUUACCAACAGAAAAAGCACCGGCUAACUCUGUGCCAGCAGCCGCGGUAAUACAGAGGGUGCAAGCGUUAAUCGGAAUUACUGGGCGUAAAGCGCACGUAGGUGGUUUUUUAAGUCGGGUGUGAAAGCCCCGGGCUCAACCUGGGAACUGCAUUCGAUACUGGAAGACUAGAGUAUGGUAGAGGAAAGUGGAAUUUCCGGUGUAGCGGUGAAAUGCGUAGAUAUCGGAAGGAACACCAGUGGCGAAGGCGGCUUCUGGACUAAUACUGACACUGAGGUGCGAAAGCGUGGGGAGCGAACAGGAUUAGAUACCCCAGUAGUC